This 301-nucleotide ribosomal RNA is filed under the name uncultured bacterium. Its description in RNAcentral is "partial 16S ribosomal RNA". It matches the Rfam family "Bacterial small subunit ribosomal RNA", at positions 509 to 807 of the family's 1533-position model. The record is from RNAcentral.
CAGCAGCCGCGGGAAUACGAAGGGGGCUAGCGUUGUUCGGAAUUACUGGGCGUAAAGCGCACGUAGGCGGAUAUUUAAGUCAGGGGUGAAAUCCCAGAGCUCAACUCUGGAACUGCCUUUGAUACUGGGUAUCUUGAGUAUGGAAGAGAUGAGUGGAAUUCCGAGUGUAGAGGUGAAAUUCGUAGAUAUUCGGAGGAACACCAGUGGCGAAGGCGGCUCACUGGUCCAUUACUGACGCUGAGGUGCGAAAGCGUGGGGAGCAAACAGGAUUAGAUACCCCCGUAGUCCCUGUCUCUUAUAC